CGACUAUGAAACUAUUAUGAGCAGGACCCCAAGUGAUGAGCCAAUCGGUAGAAGGAUCGUUGACCAUCUGAUAUGUUUUCACAAUGAAAGAGCUGGGACCUCUAUGCAGGUGUCCUCAAAGCCCUCUCAGGUCUUUUUUGCCCUUUUUGGUUUUCUUAAUCUUAUUCUCUUAUGAUGAUGAUCCAGUGCAUAUGAAGCUGUGUGUUAUAAUCUUUAUCGAUCGUUUACUUAUGAAACUAUACUACUAUAUAGUGUUUUGUAGGAAUCAGUCAUUGGUUUUUAAAAUAUCUUAUAAAGUGAAAAAGUACUGAUUCAAGCAAGCAUCAUAGAAUAGAACAUAUCACAUAUUUUAUAAGAUUUGUAUAAUAGUGAUAUCUAGCUAGCUAACACAUAUGGUCUCAUAUGCCCUUGAAUUUUAUCCUGAAAUAUAUAUGAUCAAGACAAAUCUUGUUUUCUU
This is a long non-coding RNA of Capsella rubella, 457 nucleotides long. RefSeq lists it as uncharacterized. NCBI's taxonomy places the organism in Eukaryota, Viridiplantae, Streptophyta, Magnoliopsida, Brassicales, Brassicaceae. The record is from RefSeq and is a predicted model, not a curated record. The transcript is spliced from 2 exons.